Mus musculus (house mouse) is the source of this 2781-nucleotide long non-coding RNA. RefSeq annotates it as predicted gene 15918. Lineage: Eukaryota; Metazoa; Chordata; Mammalia; Rodentia; Muridae. The transcript is spliced from 2 exons. The record is from RefSeq and is marked validated.
AGGGCCCCACACCGGCCACUGCAGAGAGAAAACAGGAGUGGGGGGGGGGAGGAAAUGUCCCUCGGGGAGGAUGGGGGUAGGGGGGAAGGCCAAGUGCAACCGGCUGAAGGAGGCCAGGUCUCCUCCAGGAUGCAAACGAGCGCCAGUUACCUUGGGACACAGCGGGGGGGGGAAAGGGGGCAACCAGGAUGGAGGUCUGCAGAGGAGAGGCGGGAGGGUAGAGGCAGGGUCUUCUCCAAGUGCAACCCAGGGACGGAGAUGGACAAACAGCAGGACCUAGGGCCUCCCCCGGGCCAAAAGGCGUGGCCAGGCAACCUAUAGACCGUCCCGAGAUGCUAAGACAGCGCACGGCUACCCCCGGCUCAACCUAGCCCAGACUGUCCGAGGGGCCCGCGCGCGGCCGCAGCCCCCGCCCCCAGCCCGCAGUGCUCUUACCUCCACACCUGCCCCAUCUGCAGCAGGUGGAUGACCGACUGCCAGAUCCACACGGAGAGGCGGCACAGACGCUGCGCCCCCGGGGUGGCCGAGCCCCCCGCACCCGGGCCGCCGCGGGCCGCGCCGUGGCCGUAGCCGGCCCCCAUCAUUGGGGGUCCCCGGCUGCUGAGCCCCUCCACGGCGCCUAGCCCGCCGCCCGUGUAGUCCUGCACGAACCAGCGGAAGCUCAGGCUCUGCACCAGCAGCGACGGCACCAGCACGAAGAACAGGGUCAGCCCGAAGCAGCCGUAGUCCCCCUUGCGGUAGUAGUCGAGGGCCAGCCACAGUGGUACCAAAAGGCUCCUUCAUAAUCAGUUCUACACAAUGAGUUCUCCUGAAUCACACCCUAUGCCGUCUACCCACUGAUGCCAACCCCAAAGGACAUCAUAUCACAGCACUAGUUAUAGGAAGGACCCUGUUACAUUGCAGUAACGGCACACAUCUAGGACACAUCGUGUAAAUCCUAGUAUGAGGAUGGGCCUCAGCACGACACCACUGAUGGGCUUUUGAGCCUCUGGAAGCUUCUUAACUCUAAGUGUGCAUCAUCCUUAUGCUUCUAUUUUACUAACUUUUGUAGAAAUAGAACCUCCUUUAGAACUGCAAAGCAAAUUCAUAGAACCUGUUAUUUUGAUAUUUGAUGUUAAGAAUUGAAGUGUUGGGCUGAAGAGAUGACUCCAUGGUUAAGAGCACUUGCUCUUUCAGAAGACCCAAAUUUCAUUCCCAGAACCUAUACCAGGUAGUUCACAACCACCUGUAACUCCUGAUCCAGGAAGUCAGGUGCCUGCUUCUAGCUUCUGUAGGCACCUGCACACAUGUGACAUACACUCAUACAGACAUGCACGCGCACACACACACACAAAUAGUAUUCAAGUAUUGUUACUGGUGGUAUAAAAUGGUAUAAUCUCUACAGAGGAGAAUUAGACCCUACCUGCCAAAUUACAGGUGGAAUUACCCUCUGAAACAAUAACCUUCUUAUGGAAGUUUAUCCUAUAGAUAAGUAUGCUAGUCAGAAAGUACAAAUAGGGCUAAAGAUAUGGCUCAACAGUUAAAAAGCACUGGAUGCUCUCCCACAUGACCUGGGUUCAAUUCCCAGUACCACAUGGUAGCUCACAACUACCUCUAACCCCAAUUCCAGGGGGUCUGCUGGCCUCUAAGGGCUUGAGGCAUACAUAUGUUACACAGAUAAUACAUGCUGACAAAACAUCCAUACAUAUAAGAAAUUCGUUACAUUAUUUGCUUCUUUAGUUAUUUAUAAUUUAUUCUUUUCUCCUACACUACACCCUGCCCACAGCAUCCCCUCCCUACCUUCAUGCCAGUCAUUCCACAUCACGCUUUAGUUUUAGAUUUCUUCAUAUGAUAUAUUUUGGUCACAUUCCUUCCCUUCCCCCCAAGUCCUCCCUAAUCCUUCCCACCUCUCUACCUAUCCAACCUCAUUUUCUUUCUUUUAAUUAAAAAACAAAACAACAAACAACAAUAACAACAAAAAUACUACCAAAUUAUAACCAAACAUGCACACAUAACCUAUCUACUUUCAGAUUCUUGGACACAUUAGCAUUGUCAAAUAUGAGUCCCAUCUCAUGAAAUGGUUGGUUAGAGCCAUAUUAUUUAUGCCUCUGUUACUGCAAUAUAUUACAGAUAUAUAUGUAGACAAAACACCCAUGCACAUAAGAAAAACUUUUUAACAAAGUACAUGUGUAUUCAUAUAACUCAGUUCUUCAUGCAGCAUGUUUCAAAUAGCAAGGAAAUAUGGAGAGGUAAAAAGACCCAAAUGUCAAUUCUAGGGGAACUACUAGAUUCAUUUUGUUGUAUUUGUAUGACAGAAUGUGAUGUGGUGAUGUUGAAAAUGUCAGUCUUUUUUUUUUAAGUUAUGUAAAAUGAGUUGUGUGAUGUUAUGUUAUACAAGAAGAGCAAAGUGCAAUACAAUAGAACAUGCUUCAUUCUCAGUAAGACUGUAGAAGUACCUUUAUUAUCUGUUCCUGUUUGCUCUUUUCUAUAUAAAGCAAUUUGAAGAAAGUGCUCAAGAAAGUAAUUAAAACAAUUUCUUAAAGAGUAGUGUUAUAGGUGUGGCAAAGCUGUGUAUAUGGGAGCUGGAAUAUACAGACAAUAUAUAUACAGACAAUAAAAUUGGAAGAUACUGGGCCUGCUGGGUCACAGAGGAGGAUAGGACAGCAGGGGCCAGCCCUAAGAGGCCAUUGUUGAUAGUAAACACAUUGAGGAAACUGUAAAGGCAUUAUCUCUAAGAACUCCUAAAUUGCCGGGCGUGGUGGUGCAUGCCUUUAAUCCCAGCACUCGGGAGGUAGAGGCAGG